GUGGCCGUAGCUCAGCUUGGUUAGAGCGCCUGGUUGUGGUCCAGGAGGUCGCGGGUUCAAAUCCCGUCGGUCACCCCA
This 78-nucleotide transfer RNA is filed under the name Acidobacteriota bacterium. RNAcentral describes it as "Acidobacteria bacterium tRNA-His". It matches the Rfam family "tRNA". Rfam says of the family: Transfer RNA (tRNA) molecules are approximately 80 nucleotides in length. Their secondary structure includes four short double-helical elements and three loops (D, anti-codon, and T loops). Further hydrogen bonds mediate the characteristic L-shaped molecular structure. tRNAs have two regions of fundamental functional importance: the anti-codon, which is responsible for specific mRNA codon recognition, and the 3' end, to which the tRNAs corresponding amino acid is attached (by aminoacyl-tRNA synthetases). tRNAs cope with the degeneracy of the genetic code in two manners: having more than one tRNA (with a specific anti-codon) for a particular amino acid; and 'wobble' base-pairing, i.e. permitting non-standard base-pairing at the 3rd anti-codon position. Lineage: Bacteria; Pseudomonadati; Acidobacteriota. RNAcentral also lists the same sequence under 5 other names. The record is from RNAcentral.